Molecule: ribosomal RNA, 253 nt
Filed under: uncultured bacterium
Lineage: Bacteria
Description: partial 16S ribosomal RNA
Rfam family: Bacterial small subunit ribosomal RNA
Source: RNAcentral
UACGGGGGGGGCAAGCGUUGUUCGGAAUUACUGGGCGUAAAGGGUUCGUAGGUGGCUUGCUUAGUCAGACGUGAAAUCCCUCGGCUUAACCGGGGAACUGCGUCUGAUACUGGAUGGCUUGGAUUUGGGAGAGGGAUGCGGAAUUCCAGGUGUAGCGGUGAAAUGCGUAGAUAUCUGGAGGAACACCGGUGGCGAAGGCGGCAUCCUGGACCAAUAUUGACGCUGAGGAGCGAAAGCCAGGGGAGCAAACGGG